This 1546-nucleotide ribosomal RNA is filed under the name Salmonella enterica. RNAcentral describes it as "partial 23S ribosomal RNA". It matches the Rfam family "Bacterial large subunit ribosomal RNA", at positions 170 to 1757 of the family's 2925-position model. The record is from RNAcentral. Lineage: Bacteria; Pseudomonadati; Pseudomonadota; Gammaproteobacteria; Enterobacterales; Enterobacteriaceae.
GUUAAUGAGGCGAACCGGGGGAACUGAAACAUCUAAGUACCCCGAGGAAAAGAAAUCAACCGAGAUUCCCCCAGUAGCGGCGAGCGAACGGGGAGGAGCCCAGAGCCUGAAUCAGCAUGUGUGUUAGUGGAAGCGUCUGGAAAGGCGCGCGAUACAGGGUGACAGCCCCGUACACAAAAGCGCAUGUGCUGUGAGCUCGAUGAGUAGGGCGGGACACGUGGUAUCCUGUCUGAAUAUGGGGGGACCAUCCUCCAAGGCUAAAUACUCCUGACUGACCGAUAGUGAACCAGUACCGUGAGGGAAAGGCGAAAAGAACCCCGGCGAGGGGAGUGAAAAAGAACCUGAAACCGUGUACGUACAAGCAGUGGGAGCACCCUUUGGGUGUGACUGCGUACCUUUUGUAUAAUGGGUCAGCGACUUAUAUUCUGUAGCAAGGUUAACCGAAUAGGGGAGCCGGAGGGAAACCGAGUCUUAACCGGGCGUUAAGUUGCAGGGUAUAGACCCGAAACCCGGUGAUCUAGCCAUGGGCAGGUUGAAGGUUGGGUAACACUAACUGGAGGACCGAACCGACUAAUGUUGAAAAAUUAGCGGAUGACCUGUGGCUGGGGGUGAAAGGCCAAUCAAACCGGGAGAUAGCUGGUUCUCCCCGAAAGCUAUUUAGGUAGCGCCUCGUGAAUUCAUCUCCGGGGGUAGAGCACUGUUUCGGCUAGGGGGCCAUCCCGGCUUACCAACCCGAUGCAAACUGCGAAUACCGGAGAAUGUUAUCACGGGAGACACACGGCGGGUGCUAACGUCCGUCGUGAAGAGGGAAACAACCCAGACCGCCAGCUAAGGUCCCAAAGUCAUGGUUAAGUGGGAAACGAUGUGGGAAGGCCCAGACAGCCAGGAUGUUGGCUUAGAAGCAGCCAUCAUUUAAAGAAAGCGUAAUAGCUCACUGGUCGAGUCGGCCUGCGCGGAAGAUGUAACGGGGCUAAACCAUGCACCGAAGCUGCGGCAGCGACACUGUGUGUUGUUGGGUAGGGGAGCGUUCUGUAAGCCUGUGAAGGUGUGUCGUGAGGCAUGCUGGAGGUAUCAGAAGUGCGAAUGCUGACAUAAGUAACGAUAAAGCGGGUGAAAAGCCCGCUCGCCGGAAGACCAAGGGUUCCUGUCCAACGUUAAUCGGGGCAGGGUGAGUCGACCCCUAAGGCGAGGCCGAAAGGCGUAGUCGAUGGGAAACGGGUUAAUAUUCCCGUACUUGGUGUUACUGCGAAGGGGGGACGGAGAAGGCUAUGUUGGCCGGGCGACGGUUGUCCCGGUUUAAGCGUGUAGGUGUGUGUUCCAGGUAAAUCCGGUUCACUUUAACACUGAGGCGUGACGACGAGGCACUACGGUGCUGAAGCAACAAAUGCCCUGCUUCCAGGAAAAGCCUCUAAGCAUCAGGUAACAUCAAAUCGUACCCCAAACCGACACAGGUGGUCAGGUAGAGAAUACCAAGGCGCUUGAGAGAACUCGGGUGAAGGAACUAGGCAAAAUGGUGCCGUAACUUCGGGAGAAGGCACGCUGACAC